RNAcentral lists this transfer RNA (83 nucleotides) under Candidatus Dojkabacteria bacterium. Its description in RNAcentral is "tRNA-Leu". It matches the Rfam family "tRNA". Rfam says of the family: Transfer RNA (tRNA) molecules are approximately 80 nucleotides in length. Their secondary structure includes four short double-helical elements and three loops (D, anti-codon, and T loops). Further hydrogen bonds mediate the characteristic L-shaped molecular structure. tRNAs have two regions of fundamental functional importance: the anti-codon, which is responsible for specific mRNA codon recognition, and the 3' end, to which the tRNAs corresponding amino acid is attached (by aminoacyl-tRNA synthetases). tRNAs cope with the degeneracy of the genetic code in two manners: having more than one tRNA (with a specific anti-codon) for a particular amino acid; and 'wobble' base-pairing, i.e. permitting non-standard base-pairing at the 3rd anti-codon position. The record is from RNAcentral.
GCCGGGAUGGUGGAAUGGCAGACACCCAGGACUUAAAAUCCUGUGCUCCUUGGAGCGUGCGGGUUCAAGUCCCGCUCCCGGCA